Molecule: long non-coding RNA, 671 nt
Organism: Gasterosteus aculeatus aculeatus (three-spined stickleback)
Lineage: Eukaryota; Metazoa; Chordata; Actinopteri; Perciformes; Gasterosteidae
Source: Ensembl
CAGACAGCAGUACUUGCAAGACGAGCAUACAAACAGUGUUACUAUAUUCAGAAGAACUGUAUCUCCAGUUCCUUUGUUUGGUUUUUGCUGCUUCGUGAAUAAUGGCUGGAUGACGUCUCGCGUUCAACUCGCCUUCAACUCCUCUCCGCGGUCACCAACUUUCGGCCAGUCCGCAGACAGACGAGAAGAAACUGCUGAUGCUCUCAGUGGAUCGUCUCGUCAACUCCAACAACAAACUGACGAUAUCAACGAGCGGUUCGCUCCACUGGAGCGUUCGGGACUCUGCGGGUUUCUGUCCAUGGAGGAGAGGAUGGCGGCUCUGGAGGAACUGACUCAAAGAAGAGGAGACGACGCACAAUCCCAAGAUAGCGGAAGCGGUGCGCCGUCUUCACAACUCUACGAACUACGAACCGGAGCAAGGACUAAUCUUGCCUCAUAAUGAGGCGGUGACCUCGUAUUUGCUCCGGGAAAAGUCCAGAUUUAGACGACGUCAUUGUGUCCUCCUGUAAGACGUAUUGUGAGACGGGACGCAGGAGCUUCAGGUUUUUGCCAGCCGGAACACUCAUUGCGGGCGGAGUCGAGCGAGAAGAAAGAGGCUGCUGGAAUCGAGACAAAGUGUGCUGGCUGAUGACGAGGUGGAACUCCGCCACCGUGGAGCUCACGUCGGACGG